GAAUUCUUUCAUGGUUUCAAGACUUCUUCCGCAGGACCUCAACCUGUAUGUGAAUACGGAAUCCAACGAGGUGACCCGCUCUGAUACCAAAUGAAAAGUCUACAGCAGGUGAAACCAAUAAGAACACAAAGGAUUCAAGACCAACUGUCUCUUUAUUAAGAAUCACUUAAACAAUCUUUUACAAAGACUUGUCUAAUCCGAAUUACACAACGCCACACGCGGCUUGUCACGGACCAAUUCUUAAUCUACCCUUUGCGUGAACCAACCCCUGUUGAUCACGUUUACAAAUCACUCACUUUCUGAAACCCCAAAACCCCUGUUUGUGUUUCUGUGAGAAUAUAUCGUUGAAAG
RNAcentral lists this long non-coding RNA (351 nucleotides) under Brassica napus (rape). RNAcentral's name for it is "long non-coding RNA (BNAP_LNC000835)". The record is from RNAcentral. Lineage: Eukaryota; Viridiplantae; Streptophyta; Magnoliopsida; Brassicales; Brassicaceae.